RNAcentral lists this ribosomal RNA (252 nucleotides) under uncultured bacterium. RNAcentral's name for it is "partial 16S ribosomal RNA". It matches the Rfam family "Bacterial small subunit ribosomal RNA", at positions 524 to 776 of the family's 1533-position model. The record is from RNAcentral.
UACGGAGGAUGCGAGCGUUAUCCGGAUUUAUUGGGUUUAAAGGGUGCGUAGGCGGAUCGUUAAGUCAGUGGUCAAAUUGAGGGGCUCAACCCCUUCCCGCCAUUGAAACUGGCGAUCUUGAGUGGAAGAGAAGUAUGCGGAAUGCGUGGUGUAGCGGUGAAAUGCAUAGAUAUCACGCAGAACCCCGAUUGCGAAGGCAGCAUGCCGGCUUCCGACUGACGCUGAGGCACGAAAGCGUGGGGAUCGAACAGG